UACGGAAGGCAGCAGUGGGGAAUAUUGGACAAUGGGCGAAAGCCUGAUCCAGCCAUGCCGCAUGAGUGAAGAAGGCCUUCGGGUUGUAAAGCUCUUUUAGUGAGAAAGAUAAUGACGGUACUCACAGAAGAAGUCCUGGCUAACUCCGUGCCAGCAGCCGCGGUAAUACGGAGAGGGCUAGCGUUAUUCGGAAUUAUUGGGCGUAAAGAGCGCGUAGGCUGAUUAGUAAGUUAAAAGUGAAAUCCCAAAGCUUAACUUUGGAAUUGCUUUUUAAAACUGCUAGUCUAGAGAUUUGAAAGAGGAUAGAGGAAUUCCUAGUGUAGAGGUGAAAUUCGUAAAUAUUAGGAGGAACACCAGUGGCGAAGGCGUCUAUCUGGUUCAAAUCUGACGCUGAGGCGCGAAGGGCGUGGGGAGCAAACAGGGAUUAGGAUACCCGU
This 437-nucleotide ribosomal RNA is filed under the name uncultured bacterium. RNAcentral's name for it is "bacterial SSU rRNA". It matches the Rfam family "Bacterial small subunit ribosomal RNA", at positions 340 to 790 of the family's 1533-position model. The record is from RNAcentral.